UGCCAGCCGCCGCGGUAAUACGAAGGGGGCUAGCGUUGUUCGGAAUUAUUGGGCGUAAAGCGCGUGUAGGCGGUUCGUUAAGUCUGAUGUGAAAGCCCGGGGCUCAACCCCGGAAGUGCAUUGGAAACUGGCGAACUUGAGUACGGGAGAGGAAAGUGGAAUUCCGAGUGUAGGGGUGAAAUCCGUAGAUAUUCGGAGGAACACCAGUAGCGAAGGCGCUACUCUGGGCCGGUACUGACGCUGAGGAGCGAAAGCAUGGGGAGCGAACAGGAUUAGAUA
RNAcentral lists this ribosomal RNA (279 nucleotides) under uncultured bacterium. Its description in RNAcentral is "partial 16S ribosomal RNA". It matches the Rfam family "Bacterial small subunit ribosomal RNA", at positions 506 to 784 of the family's 1533-position model. The record is from RNAcentral.